RNAcentral lists this ribosomal RNA (500 nucleotides) under uncultured bacterium. Its description in RNAcentral is "partial 16S ribosomal RNA". It matches the Rfam family "Bacterial small subunit ribosomal RNA", at positions 30 to 523 of the family's 1533-position model. The record is from RNAcentral.
AUUGAACGCUGGCGGAAUGCUUUACACAUGCAAGUCGAACGGCAGCACGGACUUCGGUCUGGUGGCGAGUGGCGAACGGGUGAGUAAUGUAUCGGAACGUGCCCAGUCGUGGGGGAUAACGUAGUGAAAAUUACGCUAAUACCGCAUACGAUCUAUGGAUGAAAGCGGGGGAUCGCAAGACCUCGCGCGAUUGGAGCGGCCGAUAUCAGAUUAGGUAGUUGGUGGGGAAAAGGCCCACCAAGCCAACGAUCUGUAGCUGGUCUGAGAGGACGACCAGCCACUCUAGAACUGAGACACGGUCCAGACUCCUACGGGAGGCAGCAGUGGGGAAUUUUGGACAAUGGGCGAAAGCCUGAUCCAGCCAUUCCGCGUGCAGGAUGAAGGCCCUCGGGUUGUAAACUGCUUUUGUACAGAACGAAAAGGUUUCUACUAAUACUAGGAGCUCAUGACGGUACUGUAAGAAUAAGCACCGGCUAACUACGUGCCAGCCGCCGCGGUAA